This 465-nucleotide ribosomal RNA is filed under the name uncultured bacterium. RNAcentral describes it as "partial 16S ribosomal RNA". It matches the Rfam family "Bacterial small subunit ribosomal RNA", at positions 28 to 507 of the family's 1533-position model. The record is from RNAcentral.
GACGAACGCUGGCGGCGUGCUUAACACAUGCAAGUCGAACGGAAAGGCCCCAGCUUGCUGGGGUACUCGAGUGGCGAACGGGUGAGUAACACGUGGGUGAUCUGCCCUGCACUCUGGGAUAAGCCUGGGAAACUGGGUCUAAUACCGGAUAGGACCGUGCUUUAGUGUGUGCGGUGGAAAGUUUUUCGGUGCAGGAUGAGCCCGCGGCCUAUCAGCUUGUUGGUGGGGUAAUGGCCUACCAAGGCGGCGACGGGUAGCCGGCCUGAGAGGGUGUACGGCCACAUUGGGACUGAGACACGGCCCAGAGUCCUACGUGAGGCAGCAGUGGGGAAUAUUGCACAAUGGGGGCAAGCCUGAUGCAGCGACGCCGCGUGGGGGAUGACGGCCUUCGGGUUGUAAACCCCAUUAGGCAGGGACGAAGCUUUUGUGACGGUACCUGCAGAAGAAGCACCGGCUAACUACGUG